Molecule: ribosomal RNA, 253 nt
Filed under: uncultured bacterium
Lineage: Bacteria
Description: partial 16S ribosomal RNA
Rfam family: Bacterial small subunit ribosomal RNA
Source: RNAcentral
UACGUAGGGUGCAAGCGUUGUCCGGAAUUAUUGGGCGUAAAGGGCUCGUAGGCGGUUUGUCGCGUCUGCUGUGAAAACUCGGGGCUCAACUCCGAGCUUGCAGUGGGUACGGGCAGACUAGAGUGCGGUAGGGGAGACUGGAAUUCCUGGUGUAGCGGUGGAAUGCGCAGAUAUCAGGAGGAACACCGGUGGCGAAGGCGGGUCUCUGGGCCGUAACUGACGCUGAGGAGCGAAAGCAUGGGGAGCGAACAGG